ANGCGGUNCUUUNCAUGCAAGUCAUACGAGGGUUUUUAACUCAAGUGGCGGACGGGUGAGUAACACGUAAGAAUUUGCCUUUAGGAGGGGGACAACAACUGGAAACGGCUGCUAAUACCCCAUAUGCUUUCGAGUGAAAUGGAUUUUUCCGCCUAAAGAGAAGCUUGCGGCUGAUUAGCUUGUUGGUGAGGUAAUGGCUCACCAAGGCGACGAUCAGUAUCUGGUUUGAGAGGAUGAUCAGACACACUGGAACUGAGACACGGUCCAGACUCCUACGGGAGGCAGCAGUGGGGAAUUUUCCGCAAUGGGCGAAAGCCUGACGGAGCAAUACCGCGUGAGGGAUGACGGCCUAUGGGUUGUAAACCUCUUUUUUCAGGGAGGAAUAAAUGACGUGUACCUGAAGAAUAAGCAUCGGCUAACUCCGUGCCAGCAGCCGCGGUAAGACGGGGGAUGCAAGUGUUAUCCGGAAUCACUGGGCGUAAAGCGUCUGUAGGUGGUCCAAUAAGUCAACUGUUAAAUCUUGAGGCUCAACCUCAAAAUCGCAGUCGAAACUAUUAGACUAGAGUAUAGUAGGGGUAAAGGGAAUUUCCAGUGGAGCGGUGAAAUGCGUAGAGAUUGGAAAGAACACCGAUGGCGAAGGCACUUUACUGGGCUACUACUGACACUCAGAGACGAAAGCUAGGGUAGCAAAUGGGAUUAGAUACCCCAGUAGUCCUAGCCGUAAACAAUGGAUACUAGAUGUUGAACAGAUCGACCUGUGCAGUAUUAAAGCUAACGCGUUAAGUAUCCCGCCUGGGAAGUAUGCUCGCAAGAGUGAAACUCAAAGGAAUUGACGGGG
This 838-nucleotide ribosomal RNA is filed under the name uncultured bacterium. RNAcentral describes it as "bacterial SSU rRNA". It matches the Rfam family "Bacterial small subunit ribosomal RNA", at positions 37 to 918 of the family's 1533-position model. The record is from RNAcentral.